RNAcentral lists this ribosomal RNA (236 nucleotides) under uncultured bacterium. RNAcentral describes it as "partial 16S ribosomal RNA". It matches the Rfam family "Bacterial small subunit ribosomal RNA", at positions 208 to 444 of the family's 1533-position model. The record is from RNAcentral.
AAGUUUUUCGGUGCAGGAUGAGUCCGCGGCCUAUCAGCUUGUUGGUGGGGUAAUGGCCUACCAAGGCGACGACGGGUAGCCGGCCUGAGAGGGUGAUCGGCCACACUGGGACUGAGACACGGCCCAGACUCCUACGGGAGGCAGCAGUGGGGAAUAUUGCACAAUGGGCGGAAGCCUGAUGCAGCGACGCCGCGUGGGGGAUGACGGUCUUCGGAUGUAAACCCCUUCAGUAGGGA